This is a long non-coding RNA of Motacilla alba alba, 957 nucleotides long. RefSeq lists it as uncharacterized. The transcript has 3 exons. The record is from RefSeq and is a predicted model, not a curated record. Lineage: Eukaryota; Metazoa; Chordata; Aves; Passeriformes; Motacillidae.
AGGAAGCACAGGUGGGAGCUGGGACAGCUGGGUUCCAGACACUGUCCUGUUGGAUUCCCACAGAUCCACAGAUUUUGGAAAGCAGAUCCAACUCAUCCUUGCCUGCAGCCAGUCUCCCACAUCCCUUGGCUUCCCUCACCCAGGACAGCAGGGUUUUCAUGUUCACUUCCCUGAUAUCUCAAUUCUUCAGCCGGAGCUCAAACAGAGCCGCAUGCAACCACAUCACCUUUCCUUUCCAGGACAAGGUGACACACCUGCCAGCACUACCUGGGGCUGUGACUCAGCUCUGCCAGGAGUCACGAGCCCCAGGGACCUGGCAGGCCACAGGUAACACGUGUCCACACAGGGGGUGAGUUCUGAGCUGUCACAAGAACAAGGCGUGAACCAGUUGGAAAUUCGACCCAGGCAUCUCCUGUCAGCACAGGAACCAACGAGAUUGCAGAGCUGGGGAGGUUCCUGCAGGACUUCCAGGCUUCAACAGGUCCCCAUGAAUUUCUGCACAUUUUCCCUGCUGAUGUUUAAGGUCCGACCUUCACAGUGAACAGCUGAGAUUCAGUGUGGAAGAAGCAGGAUUCAGAACAGCCAGCAGCUAUGUCCAGAGCUGAUGAACCUCACUUUCCAAGCUGCUCAGACCAAGACUUUCCCUCCAACCUCAGCCCCUCCCAUGAGUGUUCUGUGACUCACAGGUCGCUGCAAGGCUGUCCUAGCAGAAGGCUCUCAUAUUCUGCUCAGUCACUGCUGGCAGUGCUUCAUCUGGACCAUCAGUGUGAUCCUGUACAGCUGCUCUCAUGCUCAUCCUGUUUUAACAUGUUUGUUUCCUUUAAUUUGAGGGAUGACAUUGGCCUGAUCCUCUCUCAUCCCACUCUUGUGCUCAUCCUGUGCACUGUGGGCUGGAAUCAGAGAGUGCAAACACAAGUCUUGUACUUAUUUGUAGAAAACAACAUAAAAAUGACUAGU